AUCAUAAUUUUUUAACAUCAUUAUAUAAUAUAUAGAGUUUAAAAAAAUCUUAAUCUUUCCGUCAUAUUUUGUGACUCGAAAUUUUAAAAAUGAACAUAUAUUAACCAAUUGGCGAAAAAUGUGUGAGUGUCCACAUUAACUAAAAUAUUUAGAGCAUGAUUCAUAAACAUAUCAUAAAUAAGAUUAACAUUAAUAAAAUAAUGGUUUUUUUACGAGACGGGUUUGGCGGGAUGGGUUUGGCAGGACGUUACUUAAUAACAAUUAUAAACUAUAUAAUA
RNAcentral lists this small RNA (278 nucleotides) under Arabidopsis thaliana (thale cress). Its description in RNAcentral is "ATSL279090". Lineage: Eukaryota; Viridiplantae; Streptophyta; Magnoliopsida; Brassicales; Brassicaceae. The record is from RNAcentral.